GGGUGGGGCCAGCUCCGGUCCCGGACACACUGCCACCUGCAGCCACCUGCUCCCGGGAAGCAGGGAUGCCUGGGCGCAGGGGAGAGGAGAGUGGAAGAGAAGUUAGCUGCCCCCCUCCGCCUGGGAGAGCGUGACACAGCUCCGAACACGGGUAUUUGUCAUCGAGGCGACUGUCUGGAGGCUCUCUUCCCACUUUGCGCAUCGACUCGCCUUCUCAACCCAGACGCUGGCGCCCAGAAGUCUAGAAGGGUUCCAACUCACGAUCCGGAGAUAAAGAGUAGCACGCUCUUCCUACUGAGCCAGCCAGGCGCACUUGGGCUUGACAUCUUGAAGGGUGCACUAGAGACACCGCACGAAAACCGCCAGGAGCAAAGAAGGUGAAGAAGGCCAGUGCACUGGCUAGCGGAGAUUUUAAGUAAUCUCUACACUCAAUAUGGGGCUCAAACUUACAACCUUGAGAAGAAUUAUAUGUUCGACCCACUGAGACACCAGAUGCCCCUGAUGUCUUAAUUCUGGAAGACAAAAGCCGCCGUCCCAAAAAGCUGGUUUCAAGCGAACACAUCUGAUGUAAAGAAUUAUUUAAAAGAAGGCAAACAAUUGUGAAGAAGGAGGAGGAGACAAAAGCUUACCUAAGAAGGAAACUCUCAGAAUACAACACAUCAAGAGGACUGAUAACAGAUUAAAUAUGGGCAACGUGUCCUGAACGUAAGAAAGCCAUUAUUUCUACAAAGUGAGACAAAUGUUCAGAUUGCAGGGCCCCAAGGAGGGUGGGUGGGUAGGAAGUGAAAUACACAAAGCAGUGCUGGGGGGAGGGGAGGUAAUCAAAUGGCAUG
Molecule: long non-coding RNA, 833 nt
Organism: Suricata suricatta (meerkat)
Lineage: Eukaryota; Metazoa; Chordata; Mammalia; Carnivora; Herpestidae
Exons: 4
Source: RefSeq, a predicted model, not a curated record